GCUGGUGUGGCUCAAUGGUAGAGCAGCUGAUUUGUAAUCAGCAGGUUGAUGGUUCGAUUCCGUUCACCAGCU
Molecule: transfer RNA, 72 nt
Filed under: Proteiniclasticum ruminis
Lineage: Bacteria; Bacillati; Bacillota; Clostridia; Eubacteriales; Clostridiaceae
Also listed under: 2 other names
Description: Clostridium sp. D3RC-2 tRNA
Rfam family: tRNA
About the family: Transfer RNA (tRNA) molecules are approximately 80 nucleotides in length. Their secondary structure includes four short double-helical elements and three loops (D, anti-codon, and T loops).
Source: Rfam by way of RNAcentral